RNAcentral lists this ribosomal RNA (397 nucleotides) under uncultured bacterium. RNAcentral's name for it is "partial 16S ribosomal RNA". It matches the Rfam family "Bacterial small subunit ribosomal RNA", at positions 523 to 918 of the family's 1533-position model. The record is from RNAcentral.
AUACGUAGGUGACAAGCGUUAUCCGGAUUUACUGGGCGUAAAGGGCGUGUAGGCGGUCUUGCAAGUCAGAAGUGAAAUUCCUGAGCUCAACUCGGGCGCUGCUUCUGAAACUGCAGGACUUGAGUGCUGGAGGGGAUAGCGGAAUUCCUAGUGGAGCGGUAAAAUGCGCAGAUAUUAGGAAGAACACCGGUGGCGAAGGCGGCUAUCUGGACAGUAACUGACACUGGGGCGCGAAAGCGUGAGGUGCAAACAGGAUUAGAUCCCCUGUUAGUCCACGCCGUAAACGAUGAAUACUAGGUGUAGGGGGUAUCGACUCCCUCUGUGCCGCAGUUAACACAAUAAGUAUUCCGCCUGGGGAGUACGGCCGCAAGGUUGAAACUCAAAUGAAUUGACGGGG